UUUUUUAUUACCCACCUCACAAGCACCAAGUGACAUCCCCUAAAUUUUGUGAAUCAGUUAAUUUGGGCAGGAAACUGCAAAAUAUUCAUUAAGAGACAGAUUAGUGAUUCAUUCUUGAGCAAUUUACUCAUUUGUGCUUCAACACAACACCACUAUUGACUCUUGUAGUAAACCCUAGAUUAUUUUUCAUCUUUCAUCUUCUAGACUUCUACCCUAUUUUAUUAAUUGCAAUAGCAGUCCAACUGUGAUUUCCUACACAGAUAGCAUUUAAUCUCC
Molecule: long non-coding RNA, 276 nt
Filed under: Glycine max (soybean)
Lineage: Eukaryota; Viridiplantae; Streptophyta; Magnoliopsida; Fabales; Fabaceae
Description: long non-coding RNA (GMAX_LNC003254)
Source: RNAcentral